UACGUAGGGGGCGAGCGUUGUCCGGAAUUAUUGGGCGUAAAGGGCGCGUAGGCGGGUACUUAAGUCCGGUGUGAAAGAUCAGGGCUCAACCCUGAGAGUGCAUCGGAAACUGGGUAUCUUGAGGACAGGAGAGGAAAGUGGAAUUCCACGUGUAGCGGUGAAAUGCGUAGAUAUGUGGAGGAACACCAGUGGCGAAGGCGACUUUCUGGACUGUAACUGACGCUGAGGCGCGAAAGCGUGGGGAG
Molecule: ribosomal RNA, 245 nt
Filed under: uncultured bacterium
Lineage: Bacteria
Description: partial 16S ribosomal RNA
Rfam family: Bacterial small subunit ribosomal RNA
Source: RNAcentral